GAAUAUUGCACAAUGGGCGAAAGCCUGAUGUAGCCAUACCGCGUGUAUGAAGAAGGCCUUAGGGUUGUAAAGUACUUUCAGCGAGGAGGAAAGGUUAAGCAUUAAUACUGCUUAGCUGUGACGUUACUCGCAGAAGAAGCACCGGCUAACUCCGUGCCAGCAGCCGCGGUAAUACGGAGGGUGCGAGCGUUAAUCGGAAUUACUGGGCGUAAAGCGCGCGUAGGUGGUUAAUUAAGUCAGAUGUGAAAGCCCAGGGCUCAACCUUGGAACUGCAUUUGAAACUGGUUAACUAGAGUUUUGUAGAGGGUGGUAGAAUUUCAGGUGUAGCGGUGAAAUGCGUAGAGAUCUGAAGGAAUACCAGUGGCGAAGGCGGCCACCUGGACAAAGACUGACACUGAGGCGCGAAGGCGUGGGGAGCAAACGGGAUUAGAUACCCCGGUAGUCCACGCAGUAAACGAUGUCUAUUAGAAGUUUGUGGCUAUAUGCCGUGGGUUUCAAAGCUAACGCAUUAAAUAGACCGCCUGGGGAGUACGGCCGCAAGGUUAAAACUCAAAUGAAUUGACG
This 564-nucleotide ribosomal RNA is filed under the name uncultured bacterium. Its description in RNAcentral is "bacterial SSU rRNA". It matches the Rfam family "Bacterial small subunit ribosomal RNA", at positions 359 to 915 of the family's 1533-position model. The record is from RNAcentral.